CCCAGACUCCUACGGGAGGCAGCAGUGGGGAAUAUUGGGCAAUGGAGGAAACUCUUACCCAGCAAUGCCGCGUGAAUGAAGAAGGUCUUCGGAUUGUAAAGUUCUUUAAUUGGGGACGAAAAAAAUGACGGUACCCAAGGAAUAAGCCCCGGCUAACUACGUGCCAGCAGCCGCGGUAAUACGUAGGGGGCAAGCGUUAUCCGGAUUUACUGGGUGUAAAGGGAGCGUAGACGGCGCGGCAAGUCUGAAGUGAAAGGCAGGGGCUUAACCCCUGAACUGCUUUGGAAACUGCCAUGCUAGAGUGCUGGAGAGGUAAGUGGAAUUCCUAGUGUAGCGGUGAAAUGCGUAGAUAUUAGGAGGAACACCAGUGGCGAAGGCGGCUUACUGGACUGUAACUGACGUUGAGGCUCGAAAGCGUGGGGAGCAAACAGGAUUAGAUACCCGCGUA
RNAcentral lists this ribosomal RNA (448 nucleotides) under uncultured bacterium. RNAcentral's name for it is "bacterial SSU rRNA". It matches the Rfam family "Bacterial small subunit ribosomal RNA", at positions 330 to 792 of the family's 1533-position model. The record is from RNAcentral.